This 77-nucleotide transfer RNA is filed under the name Porphyromonas gingivalis W4087. Its description in RNAcentral is "tRNA-Asn". It matches the Rfam family "tRNA". From Rfam's summary of the family: Transfer RNA (tRNA) molecules are approximately 80 nucleotides in length. Their secondary structure includes four short double-helical elements and three loops (D, anti-codon, and T loops). Further hydrogen bonds mediate the characteristic L-shaped molecular structure. tRNAs have two regions of fundamental functional importance: the anti-codon, which is responsible for specific mRNA codon recognition, and the 3' end, to which the tRNAs corresponding amino acid is attached (by aminoacyl-tRNA synthetases). tRNAs cope with the degeneracy of the genetic code in two manners: having more than one tRNA (with a specific anti-codon) for a particular amino acid; and 'wobble' base-pairing, i.e. permitting non-standard base-pairing at the 3rd anti-codon position. The record is from RNAcentral. Lineage: Bacteria; Pseudomonadati; Bacteroidota; Bacteroidia; Bacteroidales; Porphyromonadaceae.
UCUUCCUUAGCUCAGUUGGUUAGAGCAUCUGACUGUUAAUCAGAGGGUCCUUGGUUCGAGCCCAAGAGAAAGAGCAA